Molecule: ribosomal RNA, 253 nt
Filed under: uncultured bacterium
Lineage: Bacteria
Description: partial 16S ribosomal RNA
Rfam family: Bacterial small subunit ribosomal RNA
Source: RNAcentral
UACGAAGGACCCGAGCGUUAUCCGGAUUUAUUGGGUUUAAAGGGUGCGUAGGCGGGCAUGCAAGUCAGUGGUGAAAUCUCUCUGCUCAACAGAGAAACUGCCAUUGAAACUAUGUGUCUUGAGUACAUUUGAGGCGGGCGGAAUGUGUCAUGUAGAGGUGAAAUUCUUAGAUAUGACACAGAACACCAAUUGCGAAGGCAGCUCGCUAAACUGUAACUGACGCUGAGGCACGAAAGCGUGGGGAUCAAACAGG